Non-coding RNA from Podarcis lilfordi (Lilford's wall lizard), 2163 nucleotides. NCBI's taxonomy places the organism in Eukaryota, Metazoa, Chordata, Lepidosauria, Squamata, Lacertidae. The record is from the annotation of a GenBank genome assembly.
AGAGCAAUCGAACUAGGAAAGCCCUCGAAAAGGAGUCCCAGCGCAAGUCGAGGCCGAGGGGCACGUGACGACCGAGCGCUAACUUUAAAAGCUAAGCCCUAGUCUGGUUUGUUUCUUUUUUUAAAGCGUACCAUGCUUUAAAUCCGAAACGCAUCUCCUGGAACUCUUUUUAUUGCCUCCAAAGACCUAAAGGCGGGCUGUGAGUGGUAAAGGAGAAGGCACUCUGUGCAUGCUCAAGGGUAUCUUUUCGCCCACCUGUUCCUAGAUUGGACCCUGGUAUGGAAAAUCUCGGGCGCUUGGAUUUUGGCCGAAGGAGGACUCGAAAGGCCGGAGUUCUGAAAAUGCUCCAAGGGUUGCAUCCCUUUAAAAUAUGGGUUGCGUUAUCCACCCGUUUUUUAAAAGUGCAGCAUGUCAAAAAGAUGGAUUUUAGCCCGUCGUUUUGUGUUCUAACCUUGGAGAUUAGUAAAGCAUUCAGUACCCACCCAAUUCCUGUACCUGCCCUUUCUAAAUACAACAAAUAGCAUUUGCAAUGAGAGGUUUCCCAAACAAGCUAAAAGGCCACAGGCUUUGCUAUGUAUGAUUUAUAGUCAGGGUCAAGCCUGCAUUCUUGCCUGCUCCCCACUUACACACUUAGAAGACUGCUGCGGGUCGAGCAGUCAGGCCAUGGGAUGUACAGUAUGUGUAUAUAUUGUUAUAUGCACUACAGCAGGCUUUCCCAAACUUGGGUCUCCAGCUGUUUUUGAACUACAAUGCCCACCAUACCUAGCUAGCAGGACCAGGCAUUAUGGGAAUUGUAGUCCAAAAACAUCUGGAGACCCAAGUUGGGAAAUCCUGCGCUAGGGUGAUGACACUACAACUAGUGUAAAUGAGCUCUUGUCUGGUUCUUAUUUUUUUACUAUGGGUACCAACUGAUGUUGGUACAUAUCCCCCAGAUAUACCUAUGUUGCUGGUAAAUUGACAGCUUUUAAUCCAUAGUACCAAAGUGGACAAGUUUUCUAGUGCUCUAUGUAAUAAUGCGUGCCUUGUAAGCAGUAUCAUACAACUGGCUUCUUCAAGCCACUUUCUUUCUAUGUCAGUUAUAGGGGCUAACUUUUAAUGUAACAUUAAACAAGUGUGCUGAUUUUCAUUGGCCAGAAGUCACAAGUUCCAGACUUGUGCCCUGGUCUGUGCUAUAACCAUACACUUAAUGGUCCCCACCCACCAAAUUUAUCCACUGAGAGAGGAAAGAGAAUCAGUUAACUUAAUUGAAGGGAGGCAAAUGAUGGAAAGCAAAGCACAAGCCCAGCCUCCUAACCACUGCAACCUCUUGAUUGUGUAUGUGGCGAGAGAACCCACAAAGGCACUGCAGUUGUCUAUAGUAGUAGUAGUAGUGGUAGUAUGUAGUAAUAACAAUAUUUUUUAUAUGCCGCCCAUCCAACUGAGUUGCCCCAGCCAUUCUGGGUAGCUUCCAGCAAAUUAAAACAUCAAACACAGUAAAACAUCAAACAUUAAGAACUUCCCUGUGCAGGGCUGCCUACAGGGAUUCCCACAUGGCAGGGAUGAUGUUGCCAGCCUUCAUGUCAUGUUUGCAGACAUCUUUGUAAUGCAGAGUUGGUCAGCCAGCUCUCCAAUAGGAACAUGUCCACAUGUUCAUUCUGUGGAUAUGACCAAGCUAGCAUAGAUGUUGCUGAGACAGGACUGUGAACAUGCUGGGAAUGUGGACUUGGGAGAGAGACUUUGUCCAAAGCUCUGUCCUGCCACGUGAUACCCAUAACUCUGGCUGUUGUGGUAAAUCUUCCCAUUUCGCAAGCUGCCUUGAGCACUAUGGACAGGCGGCAUACAAUGAAGAUGACGAUAUUGGCCAGUGUGGCAUAGUGGUUGAGACUGAGUCCCUACUCAGCCAUGAAGCUCCCUGGGUGACCCUGGGCUGACCACUAUCACUCAGCCUAACUUUCCUCACAGGGUUGCAGGAAUGCCAGCUUGGCCCUGCGACCGUGGGUCCCCGUGGCCGUGGGUGCCAUGCAACGUUGUGCAUGGCCCUGGCACCCAAAUCUGUGGGUGCCUUUCAGAAUUCCUGGAGGGAAGGAGGGAAGUCCUAAGAUUCAAAAGAAUCUUGUUUUAUUUGCAGUGUUUUCAAGAAUGUUAAUUGUGUGAUUGAUUUUGUAAAACGAAAUAAAAUUAUUU